CCUACGGGGGGCAGCAGUGAGGAAUAUUGGUCAAUGGACGCAAGUCUGAACCAGCCAUGCCGCGUGCAGGAAGACGGCUCUAUGAGUUGUAAACUGCUUUUGUACGAGGGUAAACGCAGAUACGCGUAUCUGUCUGAAAGUAUCGUACGAAUAAGGAUCGGCUAACUCCGUGCCAGCAGCCGCGGUAAUACGGAGGCUUCAAGCGUUAUCCGGAUUUAUUGGGUUUAAAGGGUGCGUAGGCGGUCGGAUAAGUUAGAGGUGAAAUCCGGAGGCUCAACUUCGGAAUGGCAGUUGAGACUGUGCGGCUAGAGAGUAGUCGAGGUAGGCGGAA
RNAcentral lists this ribosomal RNA (331 nucleotides) under uncultured bacterium. RNAcentral's name for it is "partial 16S ribosomal RNA". It matches the Rfam family "Bacterial small subunit ribosomal RNA", at positions 338 to 666 of the family's 1533-position model. The record is from RNAcentral.